GACGAACGCUGGCGGCGUGCUUAACACAUGCAAGUCGAACGCUGAAGCUCAGCUUUUGUUGGGUGGAUGAGUGGCGAACGGGUGAGUAACACGUGAGUAACCUGCCCCCUUCUUUGGGAUAACGCCCGGAAACGGGUGCUAAUACUGGAUAUUCACUGGUCUUCGCAUGGGGGUUGGUGGAAAGGGUUUUUCUGGUGGGGGAUGGGCUCGCGGCCUAUCAGCUUGUUGGUGGGGUGAUGGCCUACCAAGGCUUUGACGGGUAGCCGGCCUGAGAGGGUGACCGGUCACAUUGGGACUGAGAUACGGCCCAGACUCCUACGGGAGGCAGCAGUGGGGAAUAUUGCACAAUGGGCGCAAGCCUGAUGCAGCGUCGCCGCGUGAGGGAUGGAGGCCUUCGGGUUGUGAACCUCUUUCGCUCAUGGUCAAGCCGCAACAAUGGUUGUGGUGAGGGUAGUGGGUAAAGAAGCGCCGGCUAACUACGUG
RNAcentral lists this ribosomal RNA (483 nucleotides) under uncultured bacterium. RNAcentral describes it as "partial 16S ribosomal RNA". It matches the Rfam family "Bacterial small subunit ribosomal RNA", at positions 28 to 507 of the family's 1533-position model. The record is from RNAcentral.